Molecule: ribosomal RNA, 464 nt
Filed under: uncultured bacterium
Lineage: Bacteria
Description: partial 16S ribosomal RNA
Rfam family: Bacterial small subunit ribosomal RNA
Source: RNAcentral
CUACGGGAUGCAGCAGUGGGGAAUAUUGCACAAUGGAGGAAACUCUGAUGCAGCCAUGCCGCGUGUGUGAAGAAGGCCCGAGGGUUGUAAAGCACUUUCAAUUGGGAGGAAGGUUAUGUAGCUAAUACCUGCAUAAUUUGACGUUACCUUUAGAAGAAGCACCGGCUAACUCUGUGCCAGCAGCCGCGGUAAUACAGAGGGUGCAAGCGUUAUUCGGAAUUACUGGGCGUAAAGCGCGCGUAGGCGGAUUGUUAAGUCAGAUGUGAAAGCCCUGGGCUCAACCUGGGAACGGCAUUUGAUACUGGCAGUCUCGAGUUUAAGAGAGGGAAGGGGAAUUUCUAGUGUAGCAGUGAAAUGCAUAGAUAUUAGAAGGAACAUCUGUGGCGAAGGCGCCUUCCUGGCUUAAAACUGACGCUGAGGUGCGAAAGCGUGGGUAGCGAACGGGAUUAGAUACCCGUGUAGUC